Molecule: ribosomal RNA, 517 nt
Filed under: uncultured Glomus
Lineage: Eukaryota; Fungi; Glomeromycota; Glomeromycetes; Glomerales; Glomeraceae
Description: SSU rRNA
Rfam family: Eukaryotic small subunit ribosomal RNA
Source: RNAcentral
AGCAGCCGCGGUAAUUCCAGCUCCAAUAGCGUAUAUUAAAGUUGUUGCAGUUAAAAAGCUCGUAGUUGAAUUUCGAGACCGGUUUAUUGGUCGUGCUUUUGUACGUACUGGUAUUAUUGGUUUCUCCUUUCUGACGAAUCUUAAUGCCAUUAAUUUGGUGUUUUGGGGAAUCAGGACUGUUACUUUGAAAAAAUUAGAGUGUUUAAAGCAGGCUCACGCUUGAAUACAUUAGCAUGGAAUAACGGAAUAGGACGUUUGAUUCUAUUUUGUUGGUUUCUAGGAUCGACGUAAUGAUUAAUAGGGAUAGUUGGGGGCAUUAGUAUUCAAUUGUCAGAGGUGAAAUUCUUGGAUUUAUUGAAGACUAACUACUGCGAAAGCAUUUGCCAAGGAUGUUUUCAUUAAUCAAGAACGAAAGUUAGGGGAUCGAAGACGAUCAGAUACCGUCGUAGUCUUAACCAUAAACUAUGCCGACUAGGGAUCGGGAUGAUGUUAAUUUUUAAUGACUCAUUCGGCGCCU